CAAAUCACCAUCCUGUUAAUCUUAUUUACCCAUAACUGGUUAGAAAGUAUUACAAUAAUUUACCUAAAUUCUGAAUUUGCUUUAAUGCGUGAAAAAUCAACAUUGAAGGCGUUUUGAAUUUCUACAAUCGGAGAACCAAAUCAAUUUACACCCUAUUUAAGACCGAAACCAAUUUGACCGAGCCUCUGCCAACUAUUUAAAUAGCACGAUUCGAGCAUCGAUGCAUCAGAUAAGUUUUUCGGAUCUUUUCAAAAUGAACCACCGAAUCAUUCUCAUUUGUGCUAUUCUUGUGCUUGGCCUGGUAUUGGUCAAUGCCCAGGGACCUUUGGGAAACGUAAUGACCAUGAUUAAGGGCAGAAGGUCAAUUGCUGAAGAACCGGAACGACAAGAAGAGUCAGCAUGGAAAGCACCACGAGAGCACAAGCGAACAGAUCCACAGCCGCCAUUUUGAAUGUGAUUAUAAAUUAAAAUGUUAUAUGAGAAUAGAAUCGAAGUAACAGGUUUUCGAUUUGGAAAUCCUAGUGAAA
Long non-coding RNA from Malaya genurostris, 527 nucleotides. RefSeq lists it as uncharacterized. The transcript has 2 exons. The record is from RefSeq and is a predicted model, not a curated record. NCBI's taxonomy places the organism in Eukaryota, Metazoa, Arthropoda, Insecta, Diptera, Culicidae.